UUGCAGACUCCAGCGUUCUUUGUACCUUCUAGGCCACCUUCUCUCAGUGUCUAACAUAAUACCACUUUCGGGGGUCUAGUUACCUUCCCUGCUGUGAAAUACCUGCCAACGACCUAAGAUGAACUCUGCAGAAAGCGGAUGUGAAUCUCACCCUGCCUUUAACCCACCAUCCAUGAGAGGACACGUGAUGUCCGGGAGUACAGGAAAUCCAUGAGAGUAGUUGGUUCACCUUGGUUCAGACUAACUCUACAAGUACCAGAAGGAGACUGCACAGCCCCAUUCAGAGGGCUAUGUCGUUGUUGGUUGAGGGAAUGACAGGACUGCAAUCUGCAGGUUUGGGUGACCAUCGCAUCACAGAUGUGGUCACCUUUGUGCUCCUUGAUCUUUCUAGGACCCUUUCCAUACUUUACCUGUCCUUUACCCUCCCCUGGUCGUUCAUUUUGGACAGUGGUUCUCUCUCUUCCACAUACUCCUCGUCUUCAUGACUUUCUGCAGACAAAUUCAGAAACGUCUAGUCAGACAUCGACCCGGCCCUGGUAGAUCAUCACCCCCAUGUCCUCUGCCCUGAGUCGAGCAAACAGUUAAAUACGUCUAUUUUCACCAAAGAUCACAGGGAACAUGUCAGCAGCCUUCAAGAGCUGUUGCUGAAAGAGUCAGCUUGGCCCCAGCAGACACCCUGGUGUUUGGUGAGAUAGGUGGGAUUGUACACCAAGACGAGACUGAUGGAUGGAAUCCAUACACCCCACGGAGGAAAGCGUAUUUGGCGCUUUCCAGAGGCCAGGAUCCUGGGUGAUUCAUAGAGGUGGGGCCACCAGGGCCCAUGCCUUGAUUUCAGCGAAAACUCCAGACAUGGAAAGACAGAGCUCCCAGCUGAGCCCAGAGGCACAAAGAUAACAGAAUAUUAAACGAGGAAAGACUGGACACCGCAACUUCCCCACUGGUUCUGAUUGGAAGACUAAGGGAGAGGUCACAGAAGAGAUGCCUACAACUUCCCAGCAGACGUCCAGCACAGAGCCCCGCUUACUUGAGCUUCUCCGCUAACGUUGACUUCUCUGUGGGCUUCCCCUCCUGGAACUGCAGCUUCUCCCCCAGCACCGAUUCAAUGAUGUCUUUGCACGCUCCAGACUCUGAGGAAAGACAGAGAGGCCGGCCUCAGUGGAAAGCUGGCCAUGCUGCUGGGGUGACUGCCUGCAAGGGAGGAGGCAGGCUUCCAUCUCUUCUCUCAGAGGCAGAUAGAACCCCAGCACCAGGCUCUCCACUGAGAUUUCCACCUUCUAUUGCUCAGCCUCCCAAAUACACGGCAUUUGGUCACUCCUCAUUUGACAGCUGAGCAAAGAGAAGCUCCAAGGCAGAGAAAGUGACCAGACAAGAUUAGCUGACGUUUGGCAAGCUCAGAAUUCACAUGCCCUGAGACUGACGCCGAGUCCUGGGCCACUUUACCAAGACUUGCAGCCUCUUGAGUAAAACACUAAGCAGCGGCAUGAAGUGGCGAUCCCUGUGUGCUCGGGAAGGCCCCUGGGCCUACUGAUUGUUGGGCCCUCUGAGCUCAGAAUUUCAAGGACAAGUACCUUCACGAUGAAAUAUAAAUGUAUACGAAUGCAAUUCUGAAAAAUACAAGGCAUAACCAUCAAUCCCUGAAGGAAAUAGGCACAGGCUGUAGAAGUUGUUUUCAAUUCCAAGUAGUACAAGAAAGAACUAAUAAAUAGUGUUUCCUGUGUGUCAAGAACUGUUUUAGUAACU
RNAcentral lists this long non-coding RNA (1740 nucleotides) under Equus caballus (horse). Its description in RNAcentral is "lncRNA (ENSECAG00000040767.2)". The record is from RNAcentral. Lineage: Eukaryota; Metazoa; Chordata; Mammalia; Perissodactyla; Equidae.